GUGGGAAUUGCCCCUGGUGGGAUAAAUAAAGCUCAAUUGAAUUCAAAUUGUAUUUGAGAUAAGAGAGAAGAAUAACAAAUAAUGAAAGAGCAGCAGUAAAUAACAAUAGUGGGGCUUUAUACAGGGAGUACCAGUACAGAGUCAAUGUGGAGGCUAUAUACAGGGUAUUACGGUACAGAGUCAAUGUGGAGGCUAUAUACAGGGGGUACCGGUACAGAGUCAAUGUGGAGGCUAUAUACAGGGGGUACUGGUACAGAGUCAAUGUGGAGGCUAUAUACAGGGGUACUGGUACAGAGUCAAUGUGGAGGCUAUAUACAGGGGUACCGGUACAGAGUCAAUGUGGAGGCUAUAUACAGGGGUACUGGUACAGAGUCAAUGUGGAGGCUAUAUACAGGGGUACUGGUACAGAGUCAAUGUGGAGGCUAUAUACAGGGGGUACCGGUACAGAGUCAAUGUGGAGGCUAUAUACAGGGGGUACCGGUACAGAGUCAAUGUGGAGGCUAUAUACAGGGGGUACCGGUACAGAGUCAAUGUGGAGGCUAUAUACAGUGG
Long non-coding RNA from Oncorhynchus tshawytscha (Chinook salmon), 552 nucleotides. The record is from Ensembl. NCBI's taxonomy places the organism in Eukaryota, Metazoa, Chordata, Actinopteri, Salmoniformes, Salmonidae.